RNAcentral lists this transfer RNA (73 nucleotides) under Capra hircus (goat). It matches the Rfam family "tRNA". From Rfam's summary of the family: Transfer RNA (tRNA) molecules are approximately 80 nucleotides in length. Their secondary structure includes four short double-helical elements and three loops (D, anti-codon, and T loops). Lineage: Eukaryota; Metazoa; Chordata; Mammalia; Artiodactyla; Bovidae. RNAcentral also lists the same sequence under 1 other name. The record is from Rfam by way of RNAcentral.
UCCUUGACAGUCCAGUGGUUAGGACACUGUGCUUCCACUGCAGGGGGCAUGGGUUCAAUCCUUGGUCAGGGAA